Molecule: ribosomal RNA, 459 nt
Filed under: uncultured bacterium
Lineage: Bacteria
Description: partial 16S ribosomal RNA
Rfam family: Bacterial small subunit ribosomal RNA
Source: RNAcentral
CCUACGGGAGGCAGCAGUGAGGAAUAUUGGUCAAUGGCCGGAAGGCUGAACCAGCCAAGCCGCGUGAGGGAGGAAGGCACAGAGCGUCGCAGACCUCUUUUGCCGGGGAACAAAAGGCCGGACGGGUCCGGUGCUGAGGGUACCCGGAGAAAAAGCAGCGGCUAACUCCGUGCCAGCAGCCGCGGUAAUACGGAGGAUGCGAGCGUGAUCCGGUUGCAUUGGGUUUAACGGGUGCGCAGGCGGGCCGUUAAGCCGGCGGUCAAAGCCCGGGGCUCAACCCCGCCGCGCCGUCGGAACUGGGGGCAGUGAGUGCGGCGGAGGCAUGCGGAAUGCGCGGGGUAGCGGUGAAAUGCAUAGAUAUCGCGCAGAACCCCGAUUGCGAAGGCAGCGUGCCGUGCCGCCACUGACGCUGAGGCACGAAAGCGCGGGGAUCGAACAGGAUUAGAUACCCCGGUAGUC